This 87-nucleotide transfer RNA is filed under the name Stutzerimonas stutzeri. RNAcentral's name for it is "Pseudomonas stutzeri tRNA-Ser(cag)". It matches the Rfam family "tRNA". From Rfam's summary of the family: Transfer RNA (tRNA) molecules are approximately 80 nucleotides in length. Their secondary structure includes four short double-helical elements and three loops (D, anti-codon, and T loops). Further hydrogen bonds mediate the characteristic L-shaped molecular structure. tRNAs have two regions of fundamental functional importance: the anti-codon, which is responsible for specific mRNA codon recognition, and the 3' end, to which the tRNAs corresponding amino acid is attached (by aminoacyl-tRNA synthetases). tRNAs cope with the degeneracy of the genetic code in two manners: having more than one tRNA (with a specific anti-codon) for a particular amino acid; and 'wobble' base-pairing, i.e. permitting non-standard base-pairing at the 3rd anti-codon position. Lineage: Bacteria; Pseudomonadati; Pseudomonadota; Gammaproteobacteria; Pseudomonadales; Pseudomonadaceae. The record is from RNAcentral. RNAcentral also lists the same sequence under 2 other names.
GUCCGUGUGGUGGAAUUGGUAGACACGUUAGGUUCAGGUCCUAAUGCCCUAACCGGUGUGCAGGUUCAAGUCCUGUCGCGGACACCA